Molecule: ribosomal RNA, 625 nt
Filed under: uncultured bacterium
Lineage: Bacteria
Description: bacterial SSU rRNA
Rfam family: Bacterial small subunit ribosomal RNA (bases 1-531)
Source: RNAcentral
CCUACGGGAGGCAGCAGUGGGGAAUAUUGGACAAUGGGCGAAAGCCUGAUCCAGCCAUGCCGCGUGAGUGAUGAAGGCCCUAGGGUUGUAAAGCUCUUUUGUGCGGGAAGAUAAUGACGGUACCGCAAGAAUAAGCCCCGGCUAACUUCGUGCCAGCAGCCGCGGUAAUACGAAGGGGGCUAGCGUUGCUCGGAAUCACUGGGCGUAAAGGGUGCGUAGGCGGGUUUUUAAGUCAGAGGUGAAAUCCUGGAGCUCAACUCCAGAACUGCCUUUGAUACUGAGAAUCUUGAGUUCGGGAGAGGUGAGUGGAACUGCGAGUGUAGAGGUGAAAUUCGUAGAUAUUCGCAAGAACACCAGUGGCGAAGGCGGCUCACUGGCCCGAUACUGACGCUGAGGCACGAAAGCGUGGGGAGCAAACAGGAUUAGAUACCCUGGUAGUCCACGCCGUAAACGAUGAUGCCACGCGUACGUAGGUUACGUACUACUAGUGGUCGCGAGCGUACGUACGUUAACGUACUACUUCCGUCCGUCGGGUAGGUACGGUCGGCGAAGAAGUUAAAACUUAAACUUAAGUAAGUUAGUACGGACGUGAGACGUGCCGACGGACGACGACGAGGGAGGUAGG